This 64-nucleotide transfer RNA is filed under the name Dipodomys ordii (Ord's kangaroo rat). It matches the Rfam family "tRNA". Rfam says of the family: Transfer RNA (tRNA) molecules are approximately 80 nucleotides in length. Their secondary structure includes four short double-helical elements and three loops (D, anti-codon, and T loops). Further hydrogen bonds mediate the characteristic L-shaped molecular structure. tRNAs have two regions of fundamental functional importance: the anti-codon, which is responsible for specific mRNA codon recognition, and the 3' end, to which the tRNAs corresponding amino acid is attached (by aminoacyl-tRNA synthetases). tRNAs cope with the degeneracy of the genetic code in two manners: having more than one tRNA (with a specific anti-codon) for a particular amino acid; and 'wobble' base-pairing, i.e. permitting non-standard base-pairing at the 3rd anti-codon position. The record is from Rfam by way of RNAcentral. Lineage: Eukaryota; Metazoa; Chordata; Mammalia; Rodentia; Heteromyidae.
GAGAAGGUGGCUCAGUGGUAGAGCAUUUGCCUUUCAUGCAUGAUGCCCUGGGUUUGCUUCCUCA